GAUGAACGCUGGCGGCGUGCAUAACACAUUCAAGUCGAACGGACUUUAGCUGAUUAAUCCUUCGGGAAGCGUUGGUUAAAGUUAGUGGCGGACGGGUGAGUAACGCGUGAGCAACCUGCCUGUGUGAGGGGAAUAACAGUUGGAAACGGCUGCUAAUACCGCAUGAAGCAUGAUUAUCGCAUGGUGAUGAUGCCAAAGAAGCAAUUCGCACACAGAUGGGCUCGCGUCUGAUUAGGUAGUUGGUGAGGCAACGGCUCACCAAGCCGACGAUCAGUAGCCGGACUGAGAGGUUGAACGGCCACAUUGGAACUGAGAAACGGUCCAG
This 325-nucleotide ribosomal RNA is filed under the name uncultured bacterium. Its description in RNAcentral is "bacterial SSU rRNA". It matches the Rfam family "Bacterial small subunit ribosomal RNA", at positions 28 to 334 of the family's 1533-position model. The record is from RNAcentral.